GGUAUGGGAUGAGCUUGCGUCCGAUUAGCUAGUUGGCGGGGCAACGGCCCACCAAGGCGACGAUCGGUAGCCGGCCUGAGAGGGUGAUCGGCCACAUUGGGACUGAGAUACGGCCCAGACUCCUACGGGAGGCAGCAGUAGGGAAUAUUGCACAAUGGGGGAAACCCUGAUGCAGCAACGCCACGUGUGGGAAGAAGCAUUUCGGUGUGUAAACCACUGUCAUGAGGGAAUAAGGCCCGCCUUCGGACGGGAUUGAAUGUACCUUGAGAGGAAGCACCGGCAAACUUCGUGCCAGCAGCCGCGGUAAUACGAGGGGUGCAAGCGUUGUUCGGAAUUACUGGGCGUAAAGGGAGCGUAGGCGGGGAUUCAAGCGGAUUGUACAAUCCCGGGGCCCAACCCCGGCUCUGCAGUCCGAACUGGAUCUCUUGGAUAGUUCAGGGGCAGGC
RNAcentral lists this ribosomal RNA (446 nucleotides) under uncultured bacterium. Its description in RNAcentral is "bacterial SSU rRNA". It matches the Rfam family "Bacterial small subunit ribosomal RNA", at positions 217 to 662 of the family's 1533-position model. The record is from RNAcentral.